Molecule: unclassified non-coding RNA, 564 nt
Filed under: Hevea brasiliensis (rubber tree)
Lineage: Eukaryota; Viridiplantae; Streptophyta; Magnoliopsida; Malpighiales; Euphorbiaceae
Source: RNAcentral
GAAAUCAAGAAGAGAGAACUCAAAUUUUGUAGCUAUAAAAUACCCCUAAAUUCCUUAAACCCCCAUUUUCAGUCUCUGCUUCUCUCACACUCACACUGCAGUGUCUCUUUCGUUAGUGGAAAUUUGAAAAAAGGAAGAAGAAAGAGGCUCUCAAUCUUCAGUAUGGAUUUGUUUAGGCAGGCUAUUCUUCGACAAGGGCCACCUGAAGAAUUCGCUCUUCUAACUGUUCAAGAAGCUAUAAAACCUCAGAAGCAAACUAAGCUAGUCCAAGAUGAGAAUCAGCUGUUGGAAAAUAUUCUCAGGUCGCUACUUCAAGAAUUGGUGGCUGCUGCAGUUCAGUCGGGGCAGAAACUCAUGAAGUACGGAGUGUCAAUUGUUGAUGGUGAAUCAAGUCAGGGUCAGAUUCCCCGCCUUCUUGAUAUUGUUCUAUAUCUUUGUGAGAAAGAGCACGUCGAAGGUGGCAUGAUAUUUCAACUUUUGGAAGAUUUGACAGAAAUGUCAACAAUGAGAAAUUGUGAGGACGUUUUUGGGUAUAUAGAGAGCAAACAAGACAUAUUGGGGAAG